CUAGGGACAACAUUUAGAAAUGAAUGCUAAUACCGCAUACGAUCUAAUCUCGGCAUCGAGGAUAGAUGAAAGGUGGCCUCUACAUGUAAGCUAUCACUGAAGGAGGGGAUUGCGUCUGAUUAGCUAGUUGGAGGGGUAACGGCCCACCAAGGCGAUGAUCAGUAGCCGGUCUGAGAGGAUGAACGGCCACAUUGGGACUGAGACACGGCCCAG
Molecule: ribosomal RNA, 213 nt
Filed under: uncultured Veillonellaceae bacterium
Lineage: Bacteria; Bacillati; Bacillota; Negativicutes; Veillonellales; Veillonellaceae
Description: partial 16S ribosomal RNA
Rfam family: Bacterial small subunit ribosomal RNA
Source: RNAcentral